Medicago truncatula (barrel medic) is the source of this 1102-nucleotide long non-coding RNA. RefSeq lists it as uncharacterized. The record is from RefSeq and is a predicted model, not a curated record. NCBI's taxonomy places the organism in Eukaryota, Viridiplantae, Streptophyta, Magnoliopsida, Fabales, Fabaceae. The transcript has 2 exons.
UAGUAUUUAGACACAAGAUUUCCUCUUCACUUGCCAUUCACUUUCGUUCUCCAUCCUGCUUGAACUCUUGCCAUCUCCAACCUGCAAGGUAAUAUAUUAGAGGAAUAAAACACGUUUUCUUAUUGGGUUGUGUCCUAUUUUCUACAAGACAUGUACAAAUUCAUGGAUUGUUUUUCUCUCAUUCUGCACGAGUAUUCAAUAGUUUAUUCAUGCAAUUUCUUACCACUCUUUUGUCUCCAAACUAAUAGUUUAUUCAUGCAAUUUCUUACCACUCCUUUGUCUCCAAACUACAGGUUUUCACAACAUCUCAUGGGAGCAUUAAAGGAAUCACACGAGCAACAUGAAGGCACAACAAAAGAAUACAACAAUUAGAAUAUUUCCCAAAAAUUUACAUUUUCUUUUGAAAUUUGUAAAUAUAGUUUAACAUGCAGAAUCAUCAUAAAAUUAAGGGUCAAUAACAUAAAAUGGAAAUCUAUUUAAACACCAAUUUAAAAAAGAAAACCAACAAAAUUUCUACCGGUGCUUGCAUGCUAUUUAGGAAUGAUUGAUGAUUUACAACACCAAAAAUCCAAAAAGGUACAUAAAAGCAUGCAGAAACUUAUUAAAUAAAUAGAUCAAUGAGGUGGUUUUUCUUUCCUUCUUACUAUUUAUACUGAAAAGCAAAAACAAUUAAACCUUGAUAAGAAUGAUCAGAAACUUAUUAAACAAGGCAUGAAGUCGUGAACAAAAUUUACUUUAGCUUUAUUACAUAAAUAUGGGCCAGACAUAAUACUACACACACUCUAGCAUUGUGAUUGGCAAAUAAAGAGAAUGUUUGUAAUCUUAUAUGUAAUAAUGGAAAAGGUAUCAAUCAAUUUUUUAAACAUGAAUUGUGAGUAGAAUAAUUUGAUGCAGUCUUAAAUGUCUUCCAGUCAAUUUUCACAAAAUAAACAACUAUUGCUUCAGCGAAAGGGAAGUGAGGUUUCCAGUUUGUGACUCCACAUGUCUAUUAACUUAGUACAAUAAAACAAUACUUCUUAAUUAGAACAAAGAGAGUUGUAUUAUAGAAUUCAUGCUAUAUUCUUUGUUCAUUAUCAAUGCAAUAAAAUUCAAGUUACAAUUA